Long non-coding RNA from Dendroctonus ponderosae (mountain pine beetle), 302 nucleotides. RefSeq lists it as uncharacterized. The record is from RefSeq and is a predicted model, not a curated record. NCBI's taxonomy places the organism in Eukaryota, Metazoa, Arthropoda, Insecta, Coleoptera, Curculionidae. The transcript is spliced from 2 exons.
AUUGCCUAAAAAUCAACCAGAGACUAUUAAAGCCUGGCUUAAAAUCGUUAAUCCCCCAAUUAUGAGAUAUUGCCUGCAUUGAAAAUAUACAACAGGUUUUAUGUUUGUGACGAUCAUUUCGCUCCUGAGUGUUUUGUUCCCGGAACAUUAAGAGGCUUAAAAGGUAAUGCGAUCCCUACACUUAAUCUUCCACAGGAAAUUUCAGGUUCUUCCAUCCCCGAUAGAGAUAUUCUUGACGGAAGGACGCUCACCCCUCAACCAGGACCAUCAUCUCAGCCUGAUGUACCUGUUACGUUCGAUUC